UCUCCGUAGGUGAACCUGCGGAGGGAUCAUUAAGAAUUGAACAGCAGUGUCUGGCACUGUUGCCCAUUCUAACCCUUUGUGAACUUACCUUUGUUGCCUCGGCGGGGCCUACCCGGUACCGACCCCUUUUGGGCGAAGUUACCCUGUAGCCCGCCGGUGGAUUUUCAAACUCUUGUUAUUUUAAUGUUAUCUGAGCGUCUUAUUUUAAUAAGUCACAACUUUCAACAACGGAUCUCUUGGUUCUGGCAUCGAUGAAGAACGCAGC
Molecule: unclassified non-coding RNA, 265 nt
Filed under: uncultured fungus
Lineage: Eukaryota; Fungi
Description: sequence contains ITS1, 5.8S rRNA gene
Rfam family: 5.8S ribosomal RNA (bases 217-265)
Source: RNAcentral